RNAcentral lists this ribosomal RNA (427 nucleotides) under uncultured Pseudomonas sp. RNAcentral describes it as "bacterial SSU rRNA". It matches the Rfam family "Bacterial small subunit ribosomal RNA", at positions 353 to 772 of the family's 1533-position model. The record is from RNAcentral. Lineage: Bacteria; Pseudomonadati; Pseudomonadota; Gammaproteobacteria; Pseudomonadales; Pseudomonadaceae.
AGUGGGGAAUAUUGGACAAUGGGCGAAAGCCUGAUCCAGCCAUGCCGCGUGUGUGAAGAAGGUCUUCGGAUUGUAAAGCACUUUAAGUUGGGAGGAAGGGUUGUAGAUUAAUACUCUGCAAUUUUGACGUUACCGACAGAAUAAGCACCGGCUAACUCUGUGCCAGCAGCCGCGGUAAUACAGAGGGUGCAAGCGUUAAUCGGAAUUACUGGGCGUAAAGCGCGCGUAGGUGGUUUGUUAAGUUGGAUGUGAAAUCCCCGGGCUCAACCUGGGAACUGCAUCCAAAACUGGCAAGCUAGAGUAGGGCAGAGGGUGGUGGAAUUUCCUGUGUAGCGGUGAAAUGCGUAGAUAUAGGAAGGAACACCAGUGGCGAAGGCGACCACCUGGGCUCAUACUGACACUGAGGUGCGAAAGCGUGGGGAGCAAA